CAGGGAGCCCUGGACAUUUCCUGUCCAUAUUUGCAUAUAGAAAGACCCCUCUGGGAACAGAGAGGAGAGUGGGUUAGAGGGAACCAGAGUGGACAGGAGACCCUGGCUGUAUCCAGUGGGAGGUGAUGGUGGCCUGGAAUUGGGGGCAGGGCGAUGAUGGAGAGAAAGGGGCUGUGAGAUGCGUCCAGGCAGGAGGCUGGCCAGGGUCCUCCCCCAAGUGGCCCCCGCCCCUCAGUUUCU
RNAcentral lists this long non-coding RNA (240 nucleotides) under Homo sapiens (human). RNAcentral's name for it is "non-protein coding lnc-AMZ1-4:1". Lineage: Eukaryota; Metazoa; Chordata; Mammalia; Primates; Hominidae. The record is from RNAcentral.